ACCUCUAAAGGUUCAGGGCGUCUCUGAAGAUUCAUGUUACGUGGUAGUUCAAUGUUAUGGAAGUGGUUCUACCCAGAGACUUAGCCCACACCUUUGCGAGCCGCCUAAACGAUAUCCAGGAACAAGUUGAGAUAAGUUGAAAACCUCUUCAAAACAACACUACGUUAUUCAGAUCAGUCCCAGCAACAGCUUGCAAAGAAGCCAGCAUGGGGCAAAAGAUACCCCAAGCCACGUCAAAGGGGACAACAAACUGCAGAAUCUACUGGUAGUCUCAUCCCGACGCAGACUAGAUCUGUUGAACAGGUACAUCGGAUGGGAGACGAUGGCGUCCAACACCUGGUCACAUCUUCAAGGCAGCAACAACCAGAACAGCAGGCAGCAACAGUAGCAACUACAGAGCUGGGAGACGUGAAUGUCGCCAUUGGCUCUGGAGGUGGAACCAUGUCUUCAGACAGACGUCAGCGAGUCUGGAAGACCAAUAGCAGUGCCUAAGAACACCAGAGCAUCAUUUCCUUACCUUGGUGGAUCUGUCAUGGUCUGGGGUUGUCUUUUCAAUGAUUGUAAACUGGACUUGGCGACUGUUCGUGGAAAUCUCAAUGGCGACCACGACAUCCGGGACAUCCUGGGUCCAGUUCUUGUGCCACACCCAUAAGCUACUCGCCCUGUAUUUAUGGAUGACAAUGCCCGACCACACCGUUCCCGACUUGUGGCAAUUUUUCUCAAACAACACUGUAACCAAACGUCCAUUGCCUGCUAUGAGCCCGGAUCUGAACCCAUUGGAACCUGUCUGGGGCAUUCUUGGACGCCGAGUGCAAGCACUGGAUCCACCUGGACAUGAUCUGGCAUGGUAGGAAGCAUCUUUGCGCCGGGAGUAGCAGCAGCUGCCUCUGGAGCCAAUUGACUCAUGACAAGCAUGAGGAGGAGGGUCAAAGCUGUCAUCCGUGCACAGGUUUCGUGCGAUUUGUUGUCUAAGGAUGAUAGAGAACAUUUUCAGACUGAGAGACACUCGCCUCUCCUAUUUUCCUUCCCCAUAGUUGGGCAGGGAUACAUUUUGUUCACAAAACAUCGUUGACGUUUUCAUGUCAUUUUGUAAAUUAAAAAAUUGCACAUUUU
This 1113-nucleotide unclassified non-coding RNA is filed under the name Haliotis rubra (blacklip abalone). RNAcentral describes it as "serine/threonine-protein phosphatase 6 regulatory ankyrin repeat subunit A-like, transcript variant X2". Lineage: Eukaryota; Metazoa; Mollusca; Gastropoda; Lepetellida; Haliotidae. The record is from RNAcentral.